Molecule: long non-coding RNA, 674 nt
Filed under: Pongo abelii (Sumatran orangutan)
Lineage: Eukaryota; Metazoa; Chordata; Mammalia; Primates; Hominidae
Description: lincRNA
Source: RNAcentral
CGGAAAAACCACCUCAGUUGGGGCGGAGGGUUAGUUUUAAGAGCAAGGGGCCUUUACUAAAAUGGCGAAGGCCUUCCGUCGGCGUUGUUUUAAAAUGGGAAGCCUCGACCCAGUAUUGAGACAGCUGUUCGAAGGCGGCGUUGUGUGCAAUUCGGAUUAAUGAAGGGGAAGGGUUUUGUGUGGAAAAACACCUUGGAGUGUGACAUUUCUGCGAGAAUGCUUAAAUACCGAUUUCCCGCAGGAACAAUGGCGCUGUCUUCAGUGGCACAGCGGAGCAGUUCUGUGAAGAUGCAAAGUUGGUUGAAUCCGUGGACAUGAAACCCACAGAUACAGAGGGUCGGCCCGGUGCAGUGGCUCACGCCUGUAAUCCCAGCACUUUGGGAGGCCAAGGCAGGUGGAUCACCUGAGGUCAGAAGCUCGAGACCAGCCUGGCCAACAUGGUAAAACCCCAUCUCUACUAAUAAUACAAAAAAAAUUGCUGGGCAUGGUGGCGCACGCCUGUAAUCCAAGCUACUCCAGAGGCUGAGGCAGAAGAAUCGCUUGAAUCCGAGAGGCAGAGGUUGCAGUGAGCCCAGAUCACACCACUGCUCUCCAACCUGGGCAACAAGAGCAAAACUCCGUCAAAAAAAAAAAAAUAGAGGGUCAACUGUACACAUUAAACAGUUCCUAUCAAC